UAUUCGUAUUCACCAAGAGUGCCACUUGCUCUGAUAGGAUUCUGAGCUUCUCUAAUACUUCCUCGUUGGAAGGUUUUUGGCGCUUCUCUUGAGGAAAAAAGCUUUUGGGAGUUACGCCAAAUCCUUUCCCCCUCACUCGACCGAAAUACUCAGGGACAUUAAACACUUUCCCAAGAAUGUCCCUGCAAGUAUCCUUGUUGCCCUCUUGAGUUUCAGAACUUUGUUCAAUAAUUUCCUAAAAUACAUGUAACAUUAAAAAGAUAAGUUCAAUAGCAUUUUUAAAAUACAAUAUUAAAAAAUUAUUAAAGUAAUAACAUACUUACACAAAGUUGUACAACUUUUUUGACAUUUUCAUUAUCAACCACUCCUUCUUUAUUAACACGCGCUUCCUUCCACAAUAUAUGACGACCCAAGGGUUGAUC
RNAcentral lists this long non-coding RNA (422 nucleotides) under Cicer arietinum (chickpea). RNAcentral describes it as "long non-coding RNA (CARI_LNC003734)". Lineage: Eukaryota; Viridiplantae; Streptophyta; Magnoliopsida; Fabales; Fabaceae. The record is from RNAcentral.